CCCUUCGCCGGGUUCAAAUGCCGACACAACACGGUCGGCCAUUGACCCGGAAGUGAUAAUGUGCCUGAAAUCACCAUAGUUACUGGGCCUACUGCAACGCGAUGUCUUUAGUCAUUGUCAGUACCAGUGGAACUAGGAACUACACCAUGAACUACACCAUGUAUUUUUUUGCCGAGAUACUGACUCACCAGUAGUUGGACAGAUACAGGUGUAUUUUUACCACAAUCAAUUGAAACACCUUGACUGCACCCAGGUCUCCGAAGACAGAUCUCCAUUUAACUAAUUAUGUGACUUCUAAAACCAAUUGGCUGCACCAGUGAUGAUUUGCUCUCGCUGCUCAAUGAUGAGAGCAGAUUUCAUCUUUACAAAGUGAGUGUAAUCCUGGAGCUCAUCUUCUGACAAAUGCUUAACCAGAAUAUCAUGGACAGCGCGUUCCCUGCGAUCCACGUGUUCCUUUAGCUCUUUGGCCUCUUCAAGUUGUGCUGGCACAGUUUGCACUGAUGUCUUCUAAGAGGCUCUUCUGGGCUUCAUGCAAUACACUGAGUUUCCUGCUAAGACUGCAGAUCAAUUGUUGCUGUGGAAAUCAGGGAGAAAAAAUAUGGAGUAGAAAAGUAUAUGAAAAAAUGUUUUCUCCAAGAAGCACAAGUUAUCCCUGAGCAGAAGCAGCAUGUGCAAACCUGGAGCAAUAUAACAGCAGUUUGCUAGAAAAGAAUUCCAAAGAAAGCCUGUAUUACACCUCCCUUUCAUUAU
This is a long non-coding RNA of Mobula hypostoma (lesser devil ray), 750 nucleotides long. RefSeq lists it as uncharacterized. The transcript is spliced from 4 exons. NCBI's taxonomy places the organism in Eukaryota, Metazoa, Chordata, Chondrichthyes, Myliobatiformes, Myliobatidae. The record is from RefSeq and is a predicted model, not a curated record.